RNAcentral lists this ribosomal RNA (1344 nucleotides) under metagenome. Its description in RNAcentral is "bacterial LSU rRNA". It matches the Rfam family "Bacterial large subunit ribosomal RNA", at positions 1149 to 2493 of the family's 2925-position model. The record is from RNAcentral.
UUGAGUCGUCCUGCGCGGAAGAUGUAACGGGGCUAAGCCAGUUACCGAAGCUGCGGAUGCACAGUUUACUGUGCGUGGUAGGAGAGCGUUGUGUAAGCCUGUGAAGGUGUCUGGUAACGGAUGCUGGAGGUAUCACAAGUGCGAAUGCUGACAUGAGUAGCGUUAAAGCGGGUGAAAAGCCCGCUCGCCGUAAGCGCAAGGUUUCCUACGCAACGUUCAUCGGCGUAGGGUGAGUCGGCCCCUAAGGCGAGGCAGAGAUGCGUAGAUGAUGGGAAACAGGUCAAUAUUCCUGUACCGAUCAAUAGUGCGAUGUGGGGACGGAGAAGGUUAGCUCAGCCACCUGUUGGAAUAGGUGGUUCAAGCCUGUAGUCGUGCCUGGUAGGCAAAUCCGCCGGGCUAAGAUGAGGGGUGAUAACGAGUCUGCUUGCAGACGAAGUGAGUGAUACCCUGCUUCCAGGAAAAGCCACUAAGCUUCAGCUAUUGACGACCGUACCGCAAACCGACACUGGUGCGCGAGAUGAAUAUUCUAAGGCGCUUGAGAGAACUCAGGAGAAGGAACUCGGCAAAUUGAAACCGUAACUUCGGGAGAAGGUAUGCCCUGAUUAGGUGAACUUGUACAGAGGGAGCCGAAAGGGGUUGCAAAAAAUCGGUGGCUGCGACUGUUUAAUAAAAACACAGCACUCUGCAAACACGAAAGUGGACGUAUAGGGUGUGACGCCUGCCCGGUGCUGGAAGAUUAAAUGAUGGGGUGCAAGCUCUUGAUUGAAGUCCCAGUAAACGGCGGCCGUAACUAUAACGGUCCUAAGGUAGCGAAAUUCCUUGUCGGGUAAGUUCCGACCUGCACGAAUGGCGUAACGAUGGCCACACUGUCUCCUCCUGAGACUCAGCGAAGUUGAAAUGUUUGUGAUGAUGCAAUCUCCCCGCGGAAAGACGGAAAGACCCCAUGAACCUUUACUGUAGCUUUGUAUUGGACUUUGAACGGAUCUGUGUAGGAUAGGUGGGAGGCUUUGAAGUGUGGUCGCUAGAUCACAUGGAGCCAACGUUGAAAUACCACCCUGGUGCGUUUGAGGUUCUAACCCAGGUCCCUUAUCGGGAUCGGGGACAGUGCAUGGUAGGCAGUUUGACUGGGGCGGUCUCCUCCCAAAGCGUAACGGAGGAGUUCGAAGGUACGCUAGUUACGGUCGGACAUCGUGACGAUAGUGCAAUGGCAUAAGCGUGCUUAACUGCGAGACUGACAAGUCGAGCAGAUGCGAAAGCAGGACAUAGUGAUCCGGUGGUUCUGUAUGGAAGGGCCAUCGCUCAACGGAUAAAAGGUACUCUGGGGAUAACAGGCUGAUACCGCCC